GCCCCUGUGGUUCAGUGGUUAGAGGGUUGGCCUGCACACCAAAGGUUCCUGGGUUUGAUUCCCCAGCAUGGGCA
Myotis lucifugus (little brown bat) is the source of this 74-nucleotide non-coding RNA. Lineage: Eukaryota; Metazoa; Chordata; Mammalia; Chiroptera; Vespertilionidae. The record is from Rfam.